RNAcentral lists this transfer RNA (74 nucleotides) under Pteropus alecto (black flying fox). It matches the Rfam family "tRNA". From Rfam's summary of the family: Transfer RNA (tRNA) molecules are approximately 80 nucleotides in length. Their secondary structure includes four short double-helical elements and three loops (D, anti-codon, and T loops). The record is from Rfam by way of RNAcentral. Lineage: Eukaryota; Metazoa; Chordata; Mammalia; Chiroptera; Pteropodidae.
GGAUCCAUAGUGUAGUGGUUAGCAUGUCUACUUUACAUGCAGAAGGUGCUGGGUUCACACCCCAGGUGAAGCCA